RNAcentral lists this long non-coding RNA (412 nucleotides) under Arachis ipaensis. RNAcentral's name for it is "long non-coding RNA (AIPA_LNC002332)". The record is from RNAcentral. Lineage: Eukaryota; Viridiplantae; Streptophyta; Magnoliopsida; Fabales; Fabaceae.
UGGAAAGAAGAGUAGUAGUGGUGGUAGCAUGCAUGCAUUGGAAGAUAACAAAAAAGGAGUGGUGAGAAUGAAGAUUGUGGUGAGGAAGAGUGAGCUAAAGCAACUAGUUGAAGUGAUGAAUAAUAAUAAUAAUGAUAGAACAAAAGCAUCUUCAAGAGUAACUGCAGAGCAACGAUUGAAUCAACUGCUACAGAAGAAGAACAAGAAGAAGCAUUUAUCUUUCAACAACAACAAGUCUUGGAGCCCUGGGCUACAAAGCAUUCCAGAAUAGCUUCUUUUUAUUCAUCAUCUUCUUCUUCUGUUUCUGUUAACAAGAGUUUUUUCCUGAAAAGGGGAUGGAUUUGUUUACCACUCUUGUGUUGCUCUUUGCAUCAAUUACUAGUCCAGGAUUAGUCUAACCAUUUUUGUGUCA